UAUUGUUGGUCUGAGUAUUAAUUUACUUAGUUUAAUUCUUUAAUGUUCUUGUUCUUAUUAAUUUCAGGUUUUUGGUGCUUGGUUUCAGAGACUACUGUAUAGAUGUAUGGAAGGCAGUGAACUUCAUAAUAUCCAUUGUAUUGCAUACUUUCCCCUAGGCAUAUUCUUGUGUGCAGUACAAAGUAGUUGGUCUUUUUGUGAUUAAGACGGUGCGAUUAUGUAUUAAAUUGAAACAGGUGAUAAAAGAAGAAUGGAACAGCAGUUUUAUUGUAUUGUCCAGUGUGAUGCUGAAACUUCUUUCCAGAUUUACUGAGCUAAUUCAUUAUUGUUGCUAACACAGCUCUUUAAGCAAUUGUAGAUAGACUGACAUACCAAGCUUCCUAGCCAUGGUGCU
This 394-nucleotide unclassified non-coding RNA is filed under the name Hevea brasiliensis (rubber tree). The record is from RNAcentral. Lineage: Eukaryota; Viridiplantae; Streptophyta; Magnoliopsida; Malpighiales; Euphorbiaceae.